Molecule: ribosomal RNA, 433 nt
Filed under: uncultured bacterium
Lineage: Bacteria
Description: partial 16S ribosomal RNA
Rfam family: Bacterial small subunit ribosomal RNA
Source: RNAcentral
AACGAACGCUGGCGGCAUGCCUAACACAUGCAAGUCGAACGAGACCUUCGGGUCUAGUGGCGCACGGGUGCGUAACGCGUGGGAACCUGCCCUUAGGUUCGGAAUAACUCCCCGAAAGGGGUGCUAAUACCGGAUAAUGUCUUCGGACCAAAGAUUUAUCGCCUUUGGAUGGGCCCGCGUUGGAUUAGCUAGUUGGUAGGGUAAAAGCCUACCAAGGCGACGAUCCAUAGCUGGUCUGAGAGGAUGAUCAGCCACACUGGGACUGAGACACGGCCCAGACGCCUACGGGAAGCAGCAGUAGGGAAUAAUGGACAAUGGGCGAAAGCCUGAUCCAGCAAUGCCGCGUGAGUGAUGAAGGCCUUAGGGUUGUAAAGCUCUUUUACCCGGGAUGAUAAUGACAGUACCGGGAGAAUAAGCUCCGGCUAACUCCGUG